UCCUUUUCAGGUCCACUUAUUGAGUUUCUCGCUCUACCCAGCUGUCCUCAUUUGCCUGAAGCCCAAUAUUGACUCUGUACCAGCAGUGAUUACCUAAUCGUCUAUUGGGAGGUCGGCCUCUCCCUGAACUUCCUGGGGUCCUCACUGCUUCUCACCUUUGCGCUGUGGCAGAGUGUGUUCUGUGCCAGCAGACAAGGAAAUCAGGUCACCUGCUGGUCAGAAGCUAACAGGCCCUGCCCUGGGUCAGUGGGUCCCCCUGUGCAGAGGCCCCACAAAGGCCCCGUUGUGCAUGACUAGCCACUCCCUGAUCUUCACUGCCAGCCACCCUUGGCAGUGCAGCUUUCCAGGUGUGUGCUGGGAGCUUUCCCAAGCCUGGCUUGCAUUUCACCUUUUCCCACUUUGUUGAGGUGAUUGUCCAGCUUGAGUUUCUCUUGCCUAUGGGGGAGGCAUAGGAUUGUCAGGUGGGUAGAAAAGCAAACCUGUGUUACUCUUAGAGCAGACCUUUGUGAGUUCUGAUCAGGGAACAUCCUGACUAAAAUAGGAGUGUGUAUAAACAUAGCCACAUUUGAUGCACACACCUUUGGGGGUGCUAACAGAACGUUGUCUUCCACUCUAAAAUAUUAUUCUCUCCCUUUUUUCUUGUGUCUACCUGUGGCCUCCUCCUGCCUUCCUCCCCACAGGGUUCUGGCUUUUGGGUGCAUCUGUUUCCUUCUUGGCUUGCCUUUUGUGAUUGUGUUCUGAGGGAUAGCCUCAGCCUGGGCUGGCCAGUUUUGACAGAUGCCUGAGUCCCUGCCAACAUCUUUUGACAUUUUGGCAAGGACCAUUUUGUGAAAGAGACUGAACGAGGGGGAGACCAGAGACCGGUGGCUCCUGUGUUCUCCUUCUCCAGCCCAAGUGCCUUCUUUUGGUGUAGACCAGAGUGCUUUGCACAAGCCGCAGCUGGCUUGGGACCGUGUCGUCGGAGCGUGUGGUAGGGAGGUCCCAGGAGCAGGAGCUGCAGCUGCUCUCCAUGCAGUAGCCUGAGCCCUGGUCCUAAAAACAGCACCACAGCCCAUGCCUGGCUCUUCAUUAGCAGCUAUUGCUUGGAAUGAGCAUUGGGGAUUGGAUUUGUAUCCAGUGCUGUACCCCCCCUUCACUGCCCCUCACAUUUAUUCAGCAUACACUGAGCAGGAUGCACUGCCAAGUACUCAGAGAGGAAACAAACCAAAGAAAA
Molecule: long non-coding RNA, 1213 nt
Organism: Sapajus apella (tufted capuchin)
Lineage: Eukaryota; Metazoa; Chordata; Mammalia; Primates; Cebidae
Exons: 2
Source: RefSeq, a predicted model, not a curated record